UUUUCCCCCCAGAUGGAUCGGUAGCAUAUCUCCAGAUGACAUCUCAGAUUGCUUCCUAAAACAAUGCUAAUCAUCUAAUACUUCUAGCCUGACACUAAUCUUUUCUUUCCUCAGUCUUAUUUUCUUCAGACAACUGAAUGUGGAACCAGCUCUACAAUCUGAGGUGUUCGUUAGACUUGGAUGGUGCUUUGCAGGGAGGACUCAUGGACUAUCUCAAAUCAUAGAAUAUCCUGAGUUGGAAGGGACCCACAAGGAUCAUCGAGUCCAGCUCCUAAAGAGAAAGGGUAAGGUGAAUGGUAAGGAAGAGGUGUGCACUGGACAUGGGAGAAAGUGUUGUUCCAAUAUAGGGCUGUGGAGGAGGGAUCACCCACUCCUGGGUCUCAGAUGUUACCGUGGAACCUGGAUGUUGGGUUGGGAGUGUGAGCUGCAGCAGGUCUGUGCUGGCCCUGUGAGCACACAGCUUUUGGGACCAGGACUGCUGGUUGCCCUGUUUCUCAAGGAGUGUGGGCUCCAGCCAAGCCCAUGAAGAUUACAGGCCUAAAGCCCAUGUCAUCCGAGGACACAAGAAUUAGCACAAGGUGAUCUGAAGGAUUCAGUUCCUCCUAGCGGACAGAUCCUCCCUGCCUGCACAUCAGGCUGUCCUGCUAGGACUUGCAGCAGAAAGAUUGAGCCUCAAAAACCUCAUGGUUUUACCCACUGUUUUCUAGGGGAUGCUGGGGAAACAC
This is a non-coding RNA of Anas platyrhynchos (mallard), 725 nucleotides long. Lineage: Eukaryota; Metazoa; Chordata; Aves; Anseriformes; Anatidae. The record is from RefSeq and is a predicted model, not a curated record.